RNAcentral lists this ribosomal RNA (238 nucleotides) under uncultured Conoidasida. RNAcentral's name for it is "partial small subunit ribosomal RNA". It matches the Rfam family "Eukaryotic small subunit ribosomal RNA", at positions 587 to 840 of the family's 1831-position model. The record is from RNAcentral. Lineage: Eukaryota; Apicomplexa; Conoidasida.
AGCUCCAAUAGCGUAUAUUAAAGUUGUUGCAGUUAAAAAGCUCGUAGUUGGAUUUCGUCUACUCGAGAUGGAUGCAGUAGCUACUUGUUAGCUUACUAGCGCUUUCUCUUUUAGGCUUGGGUGGGGCUUGGGUUUACUCUUGUUCCACCCUGUUACUUUGGGGAAAUUAGAGUGUUUCAAGCAGGCUUUAGCUUGAAUACUCCAGCAUGGAAUAAUAAGAUAGGACUCAGGUUCUAUU